AGUCAGAGUCAUGAUCCUUUCUGUCCUUGGUGCAGAGUGCAGCAGAAGCUUUUUCCUGUGGUGCUGCAGGCACUGGAGACCACGGGCGGAAUUAGUCACUGGCAGGCAAAUGUAGCCUGAGAGACUGCUGUGGCACCUGAGCCAUAUGAGUGAGUACAGAUUAGGACAGGGAGAAGGAAAACUACAAAAGCUGGUGGAAAUUCCUGCAGUGGAGAAAGUCCUGUGGUGCACUAAUCUUUGAAUUCUCACAUGCACUGGACUUUGGCUCUCCAGAACUAUGAAAAACAUUAAUUUAAGAAAAUGGAACGGGGACUACAGAAGGGAAAAACCUUCAGAAACAUAUAUGUGUGCAACCCUCUGUACUACCAAUUGGGGGGCAGAGCUUUCCUCCUUGUGUAAGUGCAGGUGCUCCCUUGAGGUCUCAUGAAUACUCUGUACUGGGGGUGUCAAACUCAUUUUCACCGGGGUGGGGGAUCACAUCCGUCUCUCAGUUCCCUUCAAAAGGCCGAAUGUAAUUUUAAGACUGUAUAUAUGUGACUACUCCUACAUCUAUACAGACCUAAAAUUACAUUCGGUCCUUUGAAGGCAAACCCUGGUAUAGUGCAUCCAUGUAACACCAUAGGAUCAAGAUGUGCUGAAAUUUGAGUGUGAGUUUCGUGUUCUUAUUCCUUCAGACAAGCAUGUAUUUAUUCAGGUUGCUUUAAAUUACUUUUCAUUGAUCCAGAUAUUUCAUACUGAGGCUAAAUUAUUAAAAGGUCACAUACAGUAAUUAAAAAUAUAUUCUCCUCAUGAAAACCGAAGCUUAUUAACUUUUAAUUAAGUCAGAAAAAAAUUUGAAAAGCAUAAUUUUCUUAUUCAGCAGCUUUUCCUUGACUAUACUUUGCUUUAGGCACACACACUCAAGGAUACAGUAGUGCAUUUGUUUGCUUUUUAAAACUAUUAUUAAACGCAUUACAAAUUCUUUAUCCCUGUGUGCAAUCAGCAGAGCUUUCACCUUGUUCAUCUUUGCAAAGUCUUCAUUGCUGGUGAUGAUAUUUGAGCCUGGAGGAAUUGUGGUAAGAAAUUUUAAAACUGCUGUGAUGUAGAGAUCAAAAAAAUGUGUGUAUAUGGGUCAGGAUAGGUCAGUAUAAAGAUUUUAAUAGUGGAAUAACUAUAGUAUAUGUGUUUAAAGCAAGUCCUCAGGUAUUUAAUGUGCCAUGUAAUUUUUUUGUUUAGCUGUAUACAACUUGUCUCCCAGAA
This is a long non-coding RNA of Columba livia (rock pigeon), 1239 nucleotides long. RefSeq lists it as uncharacterized. Lineage: Eukaryota; Metazoa; Chordata; Aves; Columbiformes; Columbidae. The record is from RefSeq and is a predicted model, not a curated record. The transcript is spliced from 3 exons.